Molecule: long non-coding RNA, 1652 nt
Filed under: Mytilus galloprovincialis (Mediterranean mussel)
Lineage: Eukaryota; Metazoa; Mollusca; Bivalvia; Mytilida; Mytilidae
Source: RNAcentral
AACUACACUGUAAAAAAAUUUGAUUCAUGAAUUAUAAUGUAAAGUAGUGAUUUGGUCCAGUUGAAAAAGGUAAAAAAUUAGCAUUUCGGAAGCUGUCAAAAUAUUUCAAGACCCCCUUCACAUAAAAUUGUCCAUAUUUUGAGUUAGAGCUGAUGAAGUUUUCUAUAAUUUUGAUAUAAUUUGUCCCAAAAGUAGUACAACACACUGUAAAAAUAUUAUGGAGAAAGCGCAGGUGGGAUUUUUUUUAUUUCCAUUUAUUGUCUAAAAGAAAUGCACUACGAAAUAACUGUGUACUCGGACCUAAGAGGUGAAAUCAUAAAAUAUAGAAUCUGUACUUAGGCAACUUCCCUGAAUGAUUUAAUGGUGACAAUUUGUCAAAAAGCAUGAAACUAAAGGAUUUAAACUUUUAUUUGAUAGAAAUCUGCAAAAAAUUCCCAUUUUGGCAUUUCAUGGUCAAAAUGACCAUUUCAAAGCUUUUUCAAUUUUGAUGCAUAAGUGGCAAUCUAACUUGCUAUCUGACAGGUUUUCAUGUGUCAAUAUUCGUGUUUAUAUGUUUUAAUCCAGUUGUAUAACUCAUUUGUGAACUCUGAAUAUACCAAAAAGAAGAUUAUCUCAGAUAAUGUGUGCAAAAUGUGCUGUAUAAAUGACCCUCGUCUAACGCCCUGUUUGGAUCAAGUUAAAUGUGAGGAGCUUGGUACAUAAAAGUCCAUAUUGAAGAUUUCACUAAAUUUGUAUAAAAAGCACUUUAUAAUGUCUUUUGUACCUGUCUCAUUUCACAUAAUAUCUCUCUUUUCUUCUGUGAAGUUUUGAAAUUUUGAAAUUUUAACCAAAUAAUUAAAAUAUUAAAAUUCUGAAUAUCGUCAUAUGUAAGGAUAAACUUCACAAAUUCAAAAUUGCUGGAAAAUAUUACAUCUUUAUGUAAGGCUCCCCUUCAUUUGAAAACCUCUAUUUUUAGGCACAGGCUCAUAUAAAUUUGACUUUUGAAUAAUUAUGCUAAGUCUGAUAAAUUAAAUGAGUAUUCUAUUGCUUUUGAUGUACAUGAUAUAUUAUAUAUUAAGGCAUUUACAAAGUGUUUUUUUGCAAUAUUUUGAUUUUUAAAGCCCCAAAUGUUGAUAGUUGAAAUUUUUCAAUUUUAACAUCAAAUUUUAACACGCAAUGUUGAAUAUAGAAUUUAUCAUACUGUCUAUAAUAUAUAUCCUAUUGCCAUAAAACUUUGUAAGCAGUCUCAUAGCUUAUUAAGCUUAGGUCAUACCAAGUUUUAUUAAGAUUGGUCAAUUUUUUCUAUCCUUUUAGGUUCGAGUACACAGUUAUCGUCCCUUGAUUUUCGUUGUUCACGAAUAUAGUCCCUAGUGUGGACAGUGCGUUACUUGUCAUUUUCUUUUUAUACUCCUUCCAAAUUUAUUUAUUUAUGUUUUAUGCCUCAAGUAGCAAGAAGGGGGAUAAAACUACACUGUAAAAAAAAAAGAUUCAUGAAUUAUGAAUGAUUUAAAGUAGUGAUUUGGUCCAGUUGAAAAAGGUAAAAAAUUAGCAUUUCGGAAGCUGUCAAAAGAUUUCAAGACCCCCUUUACAUAAAAUUGUCCAUAUUUUGAGUUAGAGCUGAUGAAGUUUUCUAUAAUUUUGAUAUAAUUUGUCCCAAAAGUAGUACAACACAC